Molecule: long non-coding RNA, 441 nt
Organism: Nymphalis io (European peacock)
Lineage: Eukaryota; Metazoa; Arthropoda; Insecta; Lepidoptera; Nymphalidae
Exons: 2
Source: RefSeq, a predicted model, not a curated record
GCGCAGAUAAAGCGCUUAUACGUAGCUACGAAAUGAUGAUUCGAUUCGUGAAUCGUGUGUAGUUUGUUAAAAAAAUGCGAGUUUACUUUUCAACAAGAAGCUUAUAUUUUGUAAUAUAAAAUACAUCUUUAUAUAUAUUAAUAACAAUUAAUACGUAAACAUUGAAAAUAAGUUUGCUCAUAGUUUUUCAUAAUAAUUUUAAAAGCAAGGAAGACAGAAAAAAAAGUACAUUGGACGAAUUUUGAUCACUCGUAAGUCGUAAUAGUUUCAAAUAAAAGUGGGCGUACAAAAUAAAACUGACGUAAUCCAAUCCAAGGAGGUCGCAGUCACCGUCCAAUGUUCAGUGCCGGUGCGCCAUGCCAUGCGGCAACAAAUGAUCUACGCACGGAUGUUUUAACGAUACAUAAUCAGUAUGCAAAUAUACUUAAAUUAUAAAAUUUA